Molecule: ribosomal RNA, 460 nt
Filed under: uncultured bacterium
Lineage: Bacteria
Description: partial 16S ribosomal RNA
Rfam family: Bacterial small subunit ribosomal RNA
Source: RNAcentral
CCUACGGGAGGCAGCAGUGAGGAAUAUUGGUCAAUGGACGAGAGUCUGAACCAGCCAAGUAGCGUGAAGGACGACUGCCCUAUGGGUUGUAAACUUCUUUUAUAUGGGAAUAAAAUGUUCCACGUGUGUGAUUUUGUAUGUACCAUAUGAAUAAGGAUCGGCUAACUCCGUGCCAGCAGCCGCGGUAAUACGGAGGAUCCGAGCGUUAUCCGGAUUUAUUGGGUUUAAAGGGAGCGUAGGUGGAUUGUUAAGUCAGUGGUGAAAGUUUGCGGCUCAACCGUAAAAUUGCAGUUGAAACUGGCAGUCUUGAGUACAGAAGAGGUGGGCGGAAUUCGUGGUGUAGCGGUGAAAUGCUUAGAUAUCACGAAGAACUCCGAUUGCGAAGGCAGUUCACUGGACUGCAACUGACACUGAGGCUCGAAAGUGUGGGUAUCAAACAGGAUUAGAUACCCGGGUAGUC